UGACCUCAAAUCAGGUAGGACUACCCGCUGAACUUAAGCAUAUCAAUAAGCGGAGGAAAAGAAACUAACAAGGAUUCCCCUAGUAACUGCGAGUGAAGCGGGAAAAGCUCAAAUUUUGAAUCUGGCGGUCUUCAUGGCCGUCCGAGUUGUAAUCUAGAGAAGC
Molecule: ribosomal RNA, 163 nt
Filed under: Gomphidius borealis
Lineage: Eukaryota; Fungi; Basidiomycota; Agaricomycetes; Boletales; Gomphidiaceae
Description: partial 28S ribosomal RNA
Rfam family: Eukaryotic large subunit ribosomal RNA
Source: RNAcentral